GUUUAUUUUCCAUUCAACAAGGUUCUAUUUUUAUUUAUUUUUUAGGCUCAAUCUCUCUCUCUCUCUCUCUCUCUCUCGCUUUGUUUAUUGGGAUCAAGGAAUGCUCUGAUUUGGAUAGUUACACCACCACAGUGUAGUUUAUGAGUUCACUAAGGCUAGCAUCAAAUGUAAUUGUGGUAAAUAACCAGUGGUCCAACUUCUUGAGAGGUGUGAGCAAAUUAGUCCAACUUUUUGUAAAAUGAGGUGAACUAGUCCUAAUAGUUGAGAUGCAGGAGCAAAAAGGUCCAAGAUAGUCCGAAUGAAGAUGAGGCAUCAUCGCGUCCGUCCGGCAGGCCAAUUUGUAUUUUUAGCAAAGAUACCCCCACCCCCGAAUGGAACAAUUAACAUCAAGGUCCACACCACAUAGGUAGAGAGAUAAUUUGACAACACCCUCCCCCCUGCGUGCUUUUCUCUCGGGUAACCGCUUCGUCUCCGCAUGUCUCUUCGUGUUGCCGCCUGGACGACGACGUCACGGGCGAUCAAGGGGCUCCU
RNAcentral lists this long non-coding RNA (531 nucleotides) under Brachypodium distachyon (stiff brome). RNAcentral describes it as "long non-coding RNA (BDIS_LNC000360)". Lineage: Eukaryota; Viridiplantae; Streptophyta; Magnoliopsida; Poales; Poaceae. The record is from RNAcentral.